This 68-nucleotide ribosomal RNA is filed under the name Alternaria alternata. Its description in RNAcentral is "partial 28S ribosomal RNA". It matches the Rfam family "Eukaryotic large subunit ribosomal RNA", at positions 1 to 63 of the family's 3401-position model. Lineage: Eukaryota; Fungi; Ascomycota; Dothideomycetes; Pleosporales; Pleosporaceae. The record is from RNAcentral.
CUUUUGACCUCGGAUCAGGUAGGGAUACCCGCUGAACUUAAAACAUAUAAAUAAGCGGAGGAAAAGAA